CUCAAAUGUUGCUCUCUUGGUCAGCCAAUCAGAGACAUCCUCUAAAUUGCAGCGUAAUGACAGACGUUUGUGGUUAGAUAGUAACUCUUACUUGAGAAAACCUACAAGAAGGCCACACUUCCAAGGUAAAGUGCAUCUUUUUUUUUUUUUUUUUUUUUUUUUGGUACGGGGAUCGAACUCAAUACCUUGUGCUUUGAAGGAGGGGGUGGCACCACUGAGCUAAAUCCCUGGCCCUAAAGUGCAUUUUACAAUGAGUUUUCAUUGGUUAGAAGAGAAUUGUUUUUUUUUUUAAAAAAAAGCCUAGGCUUUGGACUUCACUUUCAUUUCCUGAUCAGUCUGUUAUUUCAAGCUUAGCUUGUUUGGAGCAAAAGUUGAGCAACUUGAUAUUACAGCAGACAUCAUAGCCUAGUGGCAAGAGCCUUUGGUGUAGCAGAUCUGAUGUGAAUACAAGCUUUUGCAAAUAUAUAAGUAAUGUGUGUCAUCAGGUAAGUCACUGCACUCCGAGCCUCAGUUCCCAUAUCUACAAAAUAGAAAAGAUGAUGUUUACAUUUCAGUUUUUGGAAGGAUCAGAGAUAGUACAGGGAAGUGCCUAGCAUAGCGCCUGGAACAUUAAAUUGUCAAAUAUGUUGGCAACAGUUGCUGUAUUCUGGUUUUGAUGAUAUGAAUGAAUGGAUUCCUCAUUAUCCAGUCUUCAGUUGUAGCUUUGAUUCUCCUCCACUGUGGGAGAACCUGAUGAAGGCACUAACUCCUCUCAGGAAAAUGUUUACCAUUCCAGGGGUUUUGUGGAUCUCAGAAGCGCACAUAUACCCCAAAGUUCAAGGACUCUGAGCUUUAGGCUUUUCUAGUACCUCUAUGCUAGGGCUCUUAAGUUAAAAGAGGCUAUAUGUGAGGAGAUUCUAGAGAACCUAUAUUGUUUUAUUUUUUAAUUUAGUGUUGCUUAAAUAGGUAUGUUAUUUUAUGCAAAUUUAUCAAGCUGCACUGUGUGUGUGUGUGUGUGUGUUUGUGUGCACAUGCACACACACGUGCAUGCUUGGCUGGGGUGGAACCCAUGGUCUUGUGCAUGCUAAGCAAGGGCUCUACUACUGAGCUACAUCCUCAGCCAGACACUUAAAAUGUUUAUACUUGGGCCUGGGAUUUAGUGCAGUGGUUCCCGUGCCUGCCUCACAAGCGCAAGGUCCCAAGUUCGAUCCACAGUACCAAAAAAAGAAAAUAAAAUGUUUAUACUUUUCUCUAGGUAUAUUAUAUACUUCAAUAAAAAUUUUAUUUACAGAAUUAAAUAUGUCCAGUAUAGUGGCACAUGCCUGUAAUUCCAGCACUCAGGAGGCUGAGGCAGGAGGAUCGCCAUGAGUUCGAGGCCAGCCUGGGCUACCUAGUGAGUUCAAGGCCAUCCUGAACUACAUAGUGAGACCCUGUCUCAAAAAACAAAAAACGAAAGAUUUAAAUAUGGGAGUAGGGGUAUAAUUCAGUGGUAGAGCACUUUGCCCAGAAUGGACAAGGCCCUGGGUUCCAUCCCAGCUCUGCAAAAAAAAAACAACAAAAAAUAAAUGUACAUUGAGGCUCAAGACUAUGGUGAAAGGUGUUGCCAGAGGCAGAAGGAAAGAGCACAGACUUUGAAAUCAGACACUUAACUGGGCAUGGUGGCCCUUGCCUGUAAUUCCAGCAUCUGGGAGGCUGAGGCAAGGGCUGAGACAAGUUCAAGCUCAGCCUGAGCAACUUAGUGACUUAGCAAGACCCUGCCUCAAAAUUUGAAAAAAGCUUAAGGGUAUAGCUUAGUGUGAAUGCCCUGGGUUCAAUCAACAGUACCACAAAAGAAGGAAGGAAAGGAAGGAGGGAGGGAGGGAGGGAGGAAAAAAGAAAAAGAAAAAAAAUAUCAGGCCUUUCACCUUUCUCCUAGCUAUGUGCCUUUAUGAGUUCCCUAACUUCUCAGAUCCAUGGAUUCUCACAUGUUAAAUAGCAAUGGCCCCUAGUUCAGAGCAUUAUGAAGAUGUUCUGCAAGGAGCUGGUGCGUGUAGAAAUGCAGCAGAAAUGCAGCAUGACAUAUUCAGCAAAUGUCAUUGUUCCCCAUUCCCUGAGGAUGGGCAGGAAAUGACUCAGAGCUGCCUUUACUGCCAAUCUUCACUGCUGAUAGGUAGCAGGUUUAUUUGUUUUUUGUUAAAUGUAGCUUAUAUUUUUGCCACAAUUAGAGAACCAUUUUAUAUUUCAUUACUAUAAUGUCCUGCCUGUCUCCUUGCCUUACAGCCCUCCACAGGUACAAUUCUCAAAUAACAAUGUUCUUAGCCCGGUUGUCUUUCUUCUUUGUGUUUGCUGUUCUCACGGUUGACAGUAACUCAGAAUGUGUGCUGCCUCUGACAGAUCCCCAUGCCUGGGAAUUGGGAGAAUCCUAGUAAGUACCAAAUAUUAGAACGAUGUCCUGUUUCUCCUCGCUUCGGGUAAAGGCAAGGAUAGUGUGAUUUGAGAGGUGACAGUAGAAGCACAGCUUCACAAGAGAGAUGACAACGUGCAAUGAUGGCUGAACUCUGAUAACUAGACCUAGAUUACAGUGGUUCUCAUCUCUGUUGGGAAAGAUUAAGACAAAAAAAAGACGACUUCUGCUUCUGGCCAUUAUGGACUAACAGGGCCUCGAUUUCUCUUCUUGUCAUAAACAACUAAAAUGCUAGACCCUGGACAACUGGCAGUGGAAGACAGUGAUCUCUGGAGAAAGGGAAUCAAGUGAGGCUGGCCAUGGUGGCACACACCUCUAAUCCAGCACUUAGAAGCUGCAAAACUGGAAGAAUUCAUCACUGGCACCCAGAACAGCAAGGAAUCUUCAGGGGGAAGAAGUUUAAAGAAGUCUUCAAGGGGUGGUGCACACCUGCAAUCCCAGCACUUGGGAGGCUAAGGCAGGAGGAUCACCAAGAGUUGGAGGCCAGCUUGAGCUAUACAGGGAGUUCAAGGCCAGCCUGCAUUACAAAGUGAAACCCUGUCUCAAAAACAAACAAACAAAAAACAGGAGAGAGAAGAGACACACAGUAACAUGGUAGUCUUACAAUGUGCUUGAGUGAUUGAUUUUUGCAGAACUGGGGAUUGAACCCAGGGCUUUCACACUGAGCUGCAUCCCCAUUACAUUUUAUUUUUUAUUUUGAGAUACCAUCUCUCUUAAGUCCUUAAACUGCCCAGGCUGGACUUGAACUCACAAUCCUCUUGCCUCAACCUAGAAUGCUGGGAUUACAGGCCUGUACCACCACACCCAGUUUUACAAUGUGAUUUAUGAUAGAGGCUUUGAAUGUGCGUAUGGGUACCAACCUGUGAAUAACAUAUGGGUAUGAACUGCAGACUUAAGGUCGACCAUGUAUGUGAUUGCCCCGGUUAAAAACUCUGGAUACCAAGGUCUCAGGUGAGUUUCCAUGGUUGGCAGUGCUCUGAGUACAACACACUUUAAUGCCAGGAGAGUAACAUUUCUGAGGUGACAGGAGCCUAGCAUUUAGAACUCCCUAGACUGUGCCCUGGGUGUUUCUUCCCUUGGCUGGGCUUUUUUUUUUUUUUUUUUUUUGGUACUGGGGAUUGAACUCGGGACCUUGCACUUUUGAGGCAGGCGGUGGAUGGCUGGGUUUUUUAUUACCAUAAACUGGGUGUGGUGGUGCACACCUGUAAUCCCAGGACUUCAGAAGCUGAGGCAAGAGGAUCACUGAGGAUCACUGUGAGUUCAAGGCCAGCCUGAACUAUAUAGUGAGACCUUGUCUCAAAAAAAAAUUUAUCAUAAAUUGCCACAAUACAACUGUAGUAGCACUUUCUUGAGCUCUGUGAGUCAUUCUAGCAUGUGAUAGAACCUGAGGCUCAUCAUAUAAAUGCCUAAGAGAGGGUGACCCUAGGGAUGCCUGCACUUGUGACCUUCUGAAGACAAGGAAGCCUGGUAGGGACCGUUCCCCCAGACUGUGCCACUUGCUUAAACUCCCUUAUAACUAGUCAACAAUAAAAAGGAACAAACCAUCAAUAAAUGUAUAUGUGGGUGAAUGCUGAAUCAUAUUAUAAAAGAGCUAGGACCCUUUCCCAUAAAGAGUGCACAGUAUAUGGUUACAUUCUUACAGAAUCUUGCUCUAGAUCAGACAGAUCAGUGGUUGUCUGGGCAUGGAGUGGCAUAGGAUAAUUCCAAAAUGGGAUGAGGAACAUUUUGGAGGGUGUAGAUAUGUCAACUGAUUUCCUACUAUCAGAAUUUACCAAACUGUAUAUUUUAAAUAUGUGCAUUUUAUUUAUAUUGAAUAUACUUCUUUACUUUUGCUUUGUUUUGGUUUUUGGUACCAGGGAUUGAACUCAGGUCCUUGCGCUUGUGAGGUAGUUCUUUAUUUUUUUUGUUUUUUUGUUUUGGUACCAGGGAUCUGAACUCGGGUCCUUGAACUUUCGAAGCAGGCAGCGGAACCACUGAGCUAAAUCCCGGCCCUUUUGUUUUGUUUUUUGAGACAAGGUCUCACUAUGUAGUUCAGAUGGGCCUUGAACUAUGUAGCCCAGGUUGACCUCAAACUCACAGCAAUUGUCCUGCCUCAGCCUCUCAAGUGCUAGGCCGAUUAUACUUUUUUUUUUUUGAUACAGGGAAUUGAACUCAGGACCUUGCAAUUACCAGGCAGGGGCGGUGCCACUCAGCUAAAUCCCCAACCUUGAUUAUACUUCUUUAAUAAAGUUUUUAAAAUUUAAAACCUGAUAAUGAGGUUCCAUCUCACAUCAAUUAAAUGAGAAUUUCAGUAGGUGGAGCCCUUGCAUUAGUGUUUUUUUUAAAUACAGUAUUAGUAAUUCUUUUUUUUUUUUUGGUAGCAGGGAUCGAACUCGGGUCCUUGUGCUUGCACAGCAGGCGGCAAAACCACUAAGCUAAGUCCCCAGCCCCAGUAUUAGUAAUUCUAAUGUAAACAAAGGGUGAAAUAACAGCCUGUGGGACAGGUAGAAAAGGUCAAAAGGUAUCAUCUUUAGAAUCACUUCAUUCCUACAAAGUGCACCACAAGUCCCAGUGCAGCCGCUUCUCCACUGUCCAUCACUUUCCCUGUCCAGGUAGGACUUCCCUGUGCCUCUGGGAAACAGCAAAGAAAAGAGACACAAUAGAGCAUUCUUGGUAUUUGGCUCUGAGGCAGGACUCCUCAAGCUGGUGUCCAAGGAGGGACUCCAGGUCUGGUCUGUCAGCAGGCCCACUAAAACUGCAACUGAAGUUAAGGAGCGCAUGAGUUUUUCCAUGGAGAGGGCCCAUAACUGUCAGUGGAUUUGUAAAGAGGUCCAAAGGCCUAAGAAGCACCGUUGGAGCGGCACAAGGAAACAUUACACACGUACUGGGUGCAGGGGUGAGUGGAGAGAAGGGAAACUAAAGGGUUUGGAAGGCUCAGUCACAGGUUGGCCUGCAGCAGUCUGGAGUUGAUUGGCCGUCUCUUGGGAAGUGACUAUUCUCAUCUGGAUCUACUCAGAAUACAGCUACUCAUGCUGCCAGGGCCCGGCUUUCUCCAGCUGGCUUCCAGACUAACCAGCCCACUCUAGUGUCUUGACCUAGCCCUGCCUUUUCCAGGUAAGUGGGCAGGAUUUCCUGAAGCUGAGAGAUCUGGAGGGGCCUCCACCCCUCGGCUCUAAUCAUCUCACACAUGUGGAUGGGGGUGGACACUGGCUCUUCUUGUCCUUCCCAAAGGGGAGUUGUGCCUGUGGCCACAGUGAGCUGUGGAAAGGAAUGAAUUCUUUGGAGCUAAAUUAUGUAUUUAUCUAAGCUGACCUUUUCACCUUGGCUCAGUCCUUAGAGGAGAAACUUCCUGACCUCAGAAUUUCCCUUAAGGACAUGGGACAAAAGAGUUCAAAAGAUCUUCAUAAUAAUUAGUCAUUGUCAGCACUAAGUAGGUAUAAUUUCUAAGAACAUGUUCAACUCAAAGUUUCAAUGAUUCUACCCGUUCUUGGAAAAUUACUAAUGAGAGUUACAAAACAAUGGCACACAGCUCUUGCCCUCAGUUGUGAAGAUAACAUGCACAAGUCACAGUUAAAAAGAAAAGUCUAGUGCCUUUAAUUCUAGCACUGUGGGAGGCUAAGGCAGGAGGAUCCGAAGUUUAAGCCCAACCUGGACAACUUUGCAAUUUAGCAAGAUCCUAUCUCAAAAAUAAAAACUGGAGGGGUUGGGGAUUUAGCUCAGUGGCUCCGAGCCUGCCUUGCAAGUGAAAGGUCCUGCCUUGAGUUGGAAACCCGGUACCAAAAAAAUAAAAAUAAAAAGUAGAGGCAACCCACUUUUGGGUCCCCUCUUGUCUCUCAGGAGCUCUCUCUCUAAAUAAAUUUUUCUAUCCUAAAAUAAAUAAAUAUAUAGGUAAAAACUAAAAAAGGGAGGAGGGGUAUAGCUCAGCAGGAAGGCACUGACUUCAAUCCCUAGUACCACAAAAGAGGGAAGGAAGGAAGGAAGGAGAGGAAGGGAGGAAGGCUAACGUAAAUUUUCUCUAAGACACCAAGGUAAGAAAUAUCCUUCUCAAAUAGGCAAGGUGAAGGAGAGCUUCAAUCAUAUUUUAGGCAGGUCUCACCCCUCUCCAAAGUCAUCUGUAAGAAUAAGAGAAAGACCACUGGUAUCAUCUGUCCACAGAGAUACUGACCUGGUCCACAUGGUCUAGUGUUUCCCAUUCAUGGAGCCCUCUUUGUGCCCUAUGAAACAUAUUCCAUCUUAUCAGAGGUCUUGCUGAUGUGAGUUCUCAUCAAAUCGGCCAUGUUCCUGUCUACUUUCUCCAAUUCCAGGAGAUAAUCACCUUUGUUGAGGUGGAUAGAGCCAGCACACCUCUGCCUCAGCACUAAACCAUUUCACUGCUCCUGACACCUGAGAAGCCCUGGGUCCCCAGUACUAUUUUCUUUUUUUUUUUCUUUUGGUAUCUGGGAUCGCACUCGGGACCUUGCACUUGCCCAGCAGGCAGCGAAACCCAGUACUAUUUUCUUCUUGAAAUGACAAAAGGGAAAUUGCCUCUCAAGAAAAUAAGACCUAAUAGGCACCAGGUACUUUGUUACCUAGUUCUUAAAGCUAUCUUACUUGCAAGAAUCUUCUCUGACUUUAUGGGUGCAGUCUAGGAAACAGUGACACUAUAGGAGAGACAAGUUAAUAGUAGAGACAUGGCAAGCGACUCUUCUGUGACUGCUUCAUGUACUUCGCCUGUGUUGACUUUUGCCAUCCCUAUAACAAUGUGCUAAUCACCCUUUUACCAGUAAAGCAGCAGAGAAGUGGUUACCCACCCAGGUGUAAGCUAGAAAGCCUCAGAGCCAGGAUCCGAACCCAGGCAGUCUUGGCCUUGCAGCCCACGAACUUAGUAACAAUUCUACACCACACAGACAGGAGCCAGCCCAGAACUGAGGAAUGUCUUGGGUAGACUACUACUGGGCAGGCAUCUCAGGAAAAAAGGUUGGAUGAAUAAAGGGUCUUCAAGACAAGGGGAGGAAUCUGAGUUUGUGCUUUAACUAAAAAAUAAUGUCUUUUUGUUCAACCUGUCCACACUAUACCACACAAGUGUUCUUAUUGUAAGAUCCCGGAUAGAGCCCAGAGAGCUCUGAACCCCUGGAAUUUUAGUGUGUAUCAAUGUACUUGUUCUGGGGAGACAGCUUAGGAUUUUUUUCAGGUUCCCAGCCACAUCCUCCAAGGUGGAGAACCUUGGAGUGUGUGUAUCAAUAGAAGAGUCGCUCUGUUUAGCCCUAUAGCUACACUCUUAAACCUCAGAGCCUAUGUCGCUGUAUCUGUAAUGGAGGGAUAAUAGAACCUACCCCUCUGGUUUAGUUGUAAAGUGGAUACAUUAUCACUAUAAAUCAUAGCCAAGUCAUACUAACUAUAUAAAAUUUAUAACAUUAAAAUUGUGCAAAAUAUACAAAUGUUAUAAAUAAAUGUGAGUUAUGAUAACAAAAUGCAUGUUUUUAACAUUUUUCCCAAGGGGAGGAAUGGGA
Molecule: long non-coding RNA, 7890 nt
Filed under: Heterocephalus glaber (naked mole-rat)
Lineage: Eukaryota; Metazoa; Chordata; Mammalia; Rodentia; Bathyergidae
Description: lncRNA (ENSHGLG00000045216.1)
Source: RNAcentral